Molecule: ribosomal RNA, 627 nt
Filed under: Mrakia robertii
Lineage: Eukaryota; Fungi; Basidiomycota; Tremellomycetes; Cystofilobasidiales; Mrakiaceae
Description: eukaryotic LSU rRNA
Rfam family: Eukaryotic large subunit ribosomal RNA
Source: RNAcentral
AUAUCAAUAAGCGGAGGAAAAGAAACUAACAAGGAUUCCCCUAGUAACGGCGAGUGAAGCGGGAUGAGCUCAAAUUUAAAAUCUGGCGGCCUCAGGUCGUCCGAGUUGUAGUCUAGAGAAUCGUUUUCCGCGUUGGCCUGUGUACAAGUCCCUUGGAACAGGGCGUCAUAGAGGGUGAGAAUCCCGUCCUUGACACAGACUACCAAUGCUUUGUGAUGCGAUCUCGAAGAGUCGAGUUGUUUGGGAAUGCAGCUCAAAAUGGGUGGUAAAUUCCAUCUAAAGCUAAAUAUUGGCGAGAGACCGAUAGCGAACAAGUACCGUGAGGGAAAGAUGAAAAGCACUUUGGAAAGAGAGUUAAACAGUACGUGAAAUUGUUAAAAGGGAAACGAUUGAAGUCAGUCAUGCUUUCCGAGACUCAGCCGAUUCUGUCGGUGUACUUCUCGGUUGGCAGGCCAGCAUCAGUUUCGAUCUGUGGAAAAGGUUGGAGGGAACGUGGCAUCCUCGGAUGUGUUAUAGCCCUUCUUCGAAUACAUAGAGCGGGACUGAGGAACGCAGCGCGCCUUUUAUUAGGUUGGCCCUCGGGUACAUACGCGCUUAGGAUGCUGGCAUAAUGGCUUUAAACGACCC